Molecule: ribosomal RNA, 495 nt
Filed under: uncultured bacterium
Lineage: Bacteria
Description: partial 16S ribosomal RNA
Rfam family: Bacterial small subunit ribosomal RNA
Source: RNAcentral
GAUGAACGCUGGCGGCGUGCCUAAUACAUGCAAGUAGAACGCUGAAGGAGGAGCUUGCUCUUCUGGAUGAGUUGCGAACGGGUGAGUAACGCGUAGGUAACCUGCCUGGUAGCGGGGGAUAACUAUUGGAAACGAUAGCUAAUACCGAAUGACAACAGUUAUUGCAUGAUAACUGUUUAAAAGGGGCAACUGCUCCACUACCAGCUGGACCUGCGUUGUAUUAGCUAGUUGGUGAGGUAACGGCUCACCAAGGCGACGAUACAUAGCCGACCUGAGAGGGUGAUGGGCCAGACUGGGAAUGAGACACGGCCCAGACUCCUACGGGAGGCAGCAGUAGGGAAUCUGCGGCAAUGGACGGAAGACUGAGCGAGCAACGCCGCGUGAGUGAAGAAGGUUUUCGGAUCGUAAAGCUCUGUUGUAAGAGAAGAACGAGUGUGAGAGUGGAAAGUUCACACUGUGACGGUAUCUUACCAGAAAGGGACGGCUAACUACGUG